RNAcentral lists this long non-coding RNA (1940 nucleotides) under Theobroma cacao (cacao). RNAcentral describes it as "long non-coding RNA (TCAC_LNC004414)". The record is from RNAcentral. Lineage: Eukaryota; Viridiplantae; Streptophyta; Magnoliopsida; Malvales; Malvaceae.
GGCCAAAGGAAGAACAAAGGAAGAAAAGAAAGAACAAGAACCCUAGGGUGAAAAUUCAAAAGAAAAUUGGUGGAUUUCAAGUAAUCAAGUAAUCAAAGGUAAAAUUUCUUGAUUUUGACUUGUGAUCUACCUUUCCCAUGCAUUCUUUUGCAUUUUUCAUGGUUGAAUCACAUGAUUUCAUGAUGGGUAUCUUGCUGGCUGAACACUUAGAGAGAGGUUUUGAUGCUUGAUUUUGUUAGAUUUUAAGAUAUUUUAGUGUUUUUAGUUAGUUAAUGAUGUGUAGCAUGAAAAGCCAACAAGAAAAAUUCAUUUUCUCCCAUCACCCAUCAUUGGCCGAAUUCUCCAUGUAGAAUAUUGAUGAUGAUUUUGAUUUUAUUUCAAGUAAUUUGGUUAGGAAUUAGUGAUUUGUGGUGUGAGAAUUAAGUAAGAAAAAUUAUAGUGUUGACGCACCCACCAUGGCCGAAUUUUCCAAGAGAAAAUGUGAGGAUGAUUUUGCCAUAUUUCAAGUUAUUUAAUUUGUGUUUGAUGAUUUGGAGUAUUGGGAGAAAAAUGAAAUUAUUUGGAGUUGAAUUGGACGUAUUGGCCAAUUAAUCGAGUGAUAGAUCGAAUUAGGCCAAUACCGUUUAAUUUCGGUACAUAAUUGAAUUUGUGUAGAACACUGUGUUUAGACAAUAAUCCGAACAAUUUGCAUCCCAUUUCAUACAUUAGUAUAAAGCCUGAAUUGGUUUUAUAACAAUUUAGCACAAUGUAGUAAAUGGCUUAUUGUGCAUUAUGUCUAGGUGGUGAGCAUUCUAGCAAAAAUAAAGAGAUAGUACUUGAGGAUCAAGAAUCGAAGUACUUGAAAUUCGACUCCCGAAGUAGUGAGUAACCUUAUCAUCAUCUUAAUUAUUUAAAAUAUGUUUUAUUUGAUUUUGUGAAUUUUAUGAAAAAUGAAUUAAAUGAUUAAUUUUUCGAUUUUAUAAACAAAAUGUGAUUUAAUGAAAUGAUUUUAAUAAAUUAUUUUAAAAUUGAAUGAUGGUUUGAAAAUAGAGUAAUUGGAGACUGCUUUUGUGUGUUGUAAAUUCAUGAUUCUAAUUGAUUGGCUUAUGGCAAUAUUGGCAUGAAUGGUUGAUUUGAUAAAUGUGUUGGAAAUGUAUAAAUUGUUGAUUUGCCUUGGAAGGCUGUAAAAUAAAAUAAAAUAAUUGCCAUGUCAUGCUAUUGCAAAUUUUAUUGUAUGGUGGGUUUAACUUGCUGCAGUGGGCGGGUUUUCUGUGGACUAACCUAUUAGAGGGGCACGAAAUCCCGCUAUAUUUUACCUCGAUGGGAGAGGCGAAUAGGGUAACUCCCGAGGUAUAACUUUAGAGUUCACUUCAUGCCAAACCACCACGUGAGGGUGAACUCAGCCAAUGCCAAGAAGCGACUAUGUUUUCAAAAUAAAAACAUGAUUUAUGCGUACAUAACUUUUUAACAGCCUUGGCGAACUCGGUUGGGAUAGCCCUCGAUCAAGGUAUCCCUGAUAACUAGGUAUGGGAAUGAUUUUGGCACGAGCCAAAGCUUUUAAGAAAUUCAUAAGCCAUGUUGAUUACUCGAUUUAUAUGAAUUGAUUUUAUUUGGUUGAAGCAAGUUGAAAGGUGAUGAGUUACAGUAUGUUAAACUAUUUUAUCUGUCUCCAUUUACUUGGCUUUAGAUAUUUUAGAUGGUAUUUGUUUACUCAUUAGGAUUAUAUAAUCUUACCACCCUCUUUUCCACCCAUUUCAAGCUCAGAAUAGGCUGUAGAUAGCUGAUUUCAUCGAGGCUACCAUUGGAUUUACAUCCUCCAAAUUGUAGGUUCACAAUCUUCCUUACUUUUAGUUAUUCGGGGGCCCACUGGUUAUUGUAAAUUAAAUUAACUACCCUGGCUUACUGUAUUAUAGUAUGUAUGAAUUUAUUUUGCUUUUAUGCUGCUACAAAAAUUAUUUAUG